This 324-nucleotide ribosomal RNA is filed under the name uncultured eukaryote. RNAcentral's name for it is "partial 18S ribosomal RNA". It matches the Rfam family "Eukaryotic small subunit ribosomal RNA", at positions 1470 to 1796 of the family's 1831-position model. The record is from RNAcentral.
CCCUUAGAUGUUCUGGGCUGCACGCGCGCUACACUGAUGCGAUCAACAAGUUUUUCCUAUGUCGAUAGACACGGGUAAUCUUUUGAACUCGCAUCGUGAUGGGGAUAGAUUAUUGUAAUUAUUAAUCUUCAACGAGGAAUUCCUAGUAGGUGCAAAUCAUCAGUUUGCAUCGAUUACGUCCCUGCCCUUUGUACACACCGCCCGUCGCUGCUACCGAUUGGUUGAUCUGGGGAAUUAUUCGGACUGCCGGCUGAAGGGGUUUCCUCAUCUGCCAGCGGAAAGUCUUGUUAACCCUAUCAACUAGAGGAAGCAGAAGUCGUAACA